AAUUGACGGGGACCCGCACAAGCGGUGGAGCAUGUGGUUUAAUCCGAAGCAACGCGAAGAACCUUACCAAGUCUUGACAUCUGGAUGACAGGGACGUAACGGUCCCCUUACUUCGGUACAUCCAAGACAGGUGGUGCAUGGUUGUCGUCAGCUCGUGUCGUGAGAUGUUGGGUUAAGUCCCGCAACGAGCGCAACCCUUAUCUUCAGUAGCCAGCAGGUAAAGCCGGGCACUCUGGAGAGACUGCCGGGGAUAACCCGGAGGAAGGUGGGGAUGACGUCAAAUCAUCAUGCCCCUUAUGAUUUGGGCUACACACGUGCUACAAUGGCGUAAACAGAGGGAAGCGAGCCCGCGAGGGGGAGCAAAUCCCAAAAAUAACGUCCCAGUUCGGAUUGUAGUCUGCAACCCGACUACAUGAAGCUGGAAUCGCUAGUAAUCGCGGAUCAGAAUGCCGCGGUGAAUACGUUCCCGGGUCUUGUACACACCGCCCGUCACACCAUGGGAGUCGGAAAUGCCCGAAGUCUGUGACCUAACCGCAAGGGAGGAGCAGCCGAAGGCAGGUCGGAUGACUGGGGUGAAGUCGUAACAAGGUAGCC
Molecule: ribosomal RNA, 594 nt
Filed under: uncultured bacterium
Lineage: Bacteria
Description: bacterial SSU rRNA
Rfam family: Bacterial small subunit ribosomal RNA
Source: RNAcentral